CCCUUAGAUGUUCUGGGCUGCACGCGCGCUACACUGAUGCGUUCAACGAGUGUAUCACCUUGCCCGAUAGGGUUGGGUAAUCUUUUGAACACGCAUCGUGAUGGGGAUAGAUUAUUGCAAUUAUUAAUCUUCAACGAGGAAUUCCUAGUAAUGAUGAAUCAUCAGUUCAUCGUGAUUACGUCCCUGCCCUUUGUACACACCGCCCGUCGCUCCUACAGAUUGAGCAGUCCGGUGAAUACUUCGGACCGUUUGCAAAGAUGGUUCGCCAUCUUUGCGAAUGGAAAGUCGAGUGAACCUUACUGCUUAGAUGAAGGAGAAGUCGUAACA
Molecule: ribosomal RNA, 327 nt
Filed under: uncultured eukaryote
Lineage: Eukaryota
Description: partial 18S ribosomal RNA
Rfam family: Eukaryotic small subunit ribosomal RNA
Source: RNAcentral